GGGGGCGUAGCUCAGUUGGUUAGAGCGCCGGCCUGUCACGCCGGAGGCCGCGGGUUCGAGUCCCGUCGCUCCCGCCA
RNAcentral lists this transfer RNA (77 nucleotides) under Bradyrhizobium sp. Its description in RNAcentral is "tRNA-Asp". It matches the Rfam family "tRNA". From Rfam's summary of the family: Transfer RNA (tRNA) molecules are approximately 80 nucleotides in length. Their secondary structure includes four short double-helical elements and three loops (D, anti-codon, and T loops). The record is from RNAcentral. Lineage: Bacteria; Pseudomonadati; Pseudomonadota; Alphaproteobacteria; Hyphomicrobiales; Nitrobacteraceae. RNAcentral also lists the same sequence under 17 other names.